GAUGGACGCUGGCGGCGUGCCUAAUACAUGCAAGUCGAGCGAACAGACGAGGAGCUUGCUCCUCUGACGUUAGCGGCGGACGGGUGAGUAACACGUGGAUAACCUACCUAUAAGACUGGGAUAACUUCGGGAAACCGGAGCUAAUACCGGAUAAUAUAUUGAACCGCAUGGUUCCAUAGUGAAAGACGGUUUUGCUGUCACUUAUAGAUGUAUCCGCGCCGCAUUAGCUAGUUGGUAAGGUAACGGCUUACCAAGGCUACGAUGCGUAGCCGACCUGAGAGGGUGAUCGGCCACACUGGAACUGAGACACGGUCCAUACUCCUACGGGAGGCAGCAGUAGGGAAUCUUCCGCAAUGGGCGAAAGCCUGACGGAGCAACGCCGCGUGAGUGAUGAAGGUCUUCGGAUCGUAAAACUCUGUUAUUAGGGAAGAACAAAUGUGUAAGUAACUAUGCACGUCUUGACGGUACCUAAUCAGAAAGCCACGGCUAACUACGUG
Molecule: ribosomal RNA, 497 nt
Filed under: uncultured bacterium
Lineage: Bacteria
Description: partial 16S ribosomal RNA
Rfam family: Bacterial small subunit ribosomal RNA
Source: RNAcentral